This is a long non-coding RNA of Oreochromis aureus, 2615 nucleotides long. RefSeq lists it as uncharacterized. The transcript is spliced from 3 exons. NCBI's taxonomy places the organism in Eukaryota, Metazoa, Chordata, Actinopteri, Cichliformes, Cichlidae. The record is from RefSeq and is a predicted model, not a curated record.
AGCGCGGAGCUCAGAGCCCGGACUGUAGGGGUGAUGCGAAGGGGCGAGAGCUCCUCGAUGUUCUCCAUCAUCACCACCACCACAGCACAAACAGGAUCCACAACUGGCAGGAGAACGAAAUCCGAAGACUGCUGAGGGCACGGCGAGGACUCCGCGGUUUACCGGCGGAUAAACAGCUGCUGGCGAGAGGGUCGUCCGCGGGUCACACAUGCAGGUGAUCAGCAAACUGGAGGCGCUCUGUACCACGAGCAGAAGACUCGCUGCGGGACCGAGCGCGUCGAAGAGCGAAGAGCAGUCAGGGGCGAAGUGGACGUCAGAAAGCUCAACAAGCACCUGGGUCAAUCGGAGGUGGAUGAUGACAAGGACCAGUACAAGCCCCCAGAACACUUGCACACAAUCCGCCCCCAACACACAAUUCCAUCAGAGAGAAGGAAAACGCCGGUGAUGGAGGAAGUCUCCACAUCAGUGUUGGCGAUGGUCGCCCAGAUCAGAGAGAUUGAUGCCUGUUUGCAGAGGUUAAAGGAGCACGAGAGGGAAAUGCAGAACAGUCUCAUGAGCCAGUUCAUAGCCAUGAAUGAAAGAGUAGGACGAGACACCUCAAACUUGUGGAAAGACUACUGUCCAAGUUUCCUUUGCCUUUGGCUCCUUCAGGCUGCUGACUGACUCGUUCUUGUGAGAAAUGACACUUGUGAUAAAGUUUUCCACCAGCUGUCCAGUGCCUCAGCCCAAAUUAACCUCAACUCUGUUCAGUUGUAGCUACUACUGAUCCAGGUCAUGUUCACACUUUUGUUUUUUGUGAAUAGAUUUCAGUCAUUAGUUAACCAGUUCAUAACAAGGACCUAUAAACUAGCAGCGGUGCUAGAAAAGCAUAAAUGCAGACAAAUGACAACAAAAGACUAAUUUGAAUGAAACAAGAAGCUUUUAGAUGCACACUGUAAUUCAGUUUUAUCGUAAUAGCAAAGCAAACGUGGAAAAUGAAUAGCUGGUCUUUCUGGUUCUGCCUUUGCUUUUUGAUAACAAGGCCUACUGUGGAAGACUGAAUAGAGUGGCUUUCUUUGUGUCAAAGAGUGCUGUGUGUUUUCUUUUCUUUUAAAUUUCCCUGAGCGCUCUCACCUUCUGUGUAGCUGUGUGUAACUCAGAUUUUCAUCUUGCCUAUGAAUGACUGUAAGCAAGAAAGAAAAUGCAGUAGGCAUGUUUGGCUUUUCUGAAAAUUCUUUUCUAUAGAAAUGCGGGUUGUUGUGAUCUACAUUCCUCUUCACUCUCAGUGCUUUUGAACCUUUAAAGCUUCACCAUCAUGCUUCUGGGAAACGGAUCUGAGUUGUGUGAGUCUGAAAAUCUGCGUUUGGUGGAUUAAUACCUGCAGCGUGAACAUAAAAUAGAAGAUAGCUGAGUUAGUCUAGCGUCUGACACGCGGGUGGGUGUAUUUCUCCACCAUCAAAGCCGGACAUGUUUGAGUGAACACUGACAUGUAACACAAAGUAGGAGUACGCUCAGCUCCAGAUCUUAAACAUGCAUCGCGUGCCCGGUCUUGACAAAUAUGAAAACAAACAGAAUACAGGCACCAGACAAGAAUCAUUCAUCUUACUUACCAAAUAUUGAGAGCAUAUUUCGGCUGAGACGUCAUCAGGAUGGUCUGAUGCAUAAUAAGAUGAGAUAAUAUUUUAAAAUAUAGUAUAAUAAUUAUAUAGAAAUAUGUGGUGAGGUCCAAUCACCAAUCAACAAAGAGGACACACUGGCACGAUAGAAAGCAGGCUAACCACCCAGAUGAGAAAACUGUCAUAAAAGAACAAAACAAAAAACAUCACGUCACCAUCCACAGUUAAAUACAACAAUAAGCUAUAGCAGAAUAAAAAAUCUAAUCAACUUGUAUGAAGCUUUAUCCCAAUAUGUUUGUCUUUUUUUUGAACCGACCAAAACAGAAUCUCUUAUGAAGCCAAAUAUGUGCUCUGCUUGUUGAAAGGUUUCACCCUCUUUUACAGGGUCGGUGAUGGCAGGUGUGGACUCGUGCACUAAACACAGGACCUGCUGUUCAGUCAUUUCCUGUGAUCUUGUGGAACUGUAGAAUUACAGGUCGUCCUCUGUAGGUGAUGCUGUUCGGCAUAAUUGAGGGCAGUUUUUUCCUCACUCUUAUAGAUUAAGCAGGCUUGAAAAGGCAGAUAAUUGUAUUGAUUACAUGGUUUAUGUUUUCCUUUAUUUGAUUAGGUGUUGUAAGAUGUUAUAUCUGCAGAGUCUUCUUUCAUGAUGAUUUCCUCACGGCUGCCUUUGCCUGCUGUCUUCUUUGUGCCGUGCAGCCGAGUGUCGUCUUUGAUGAUUGGUGUUUUGGACCUCUCCUAGUUUAUGUGCAUUUUGCCAAUGAAGGCUCCAAGCCCAGACACAUGGGCCUUACCCAACAAUGGAUAUUAAGAAGAACACGUAUGCAUAUCGUGUGCUGGUUUGUGGAAACAGUGGGCCGCACUCAUUUGUAAAAGCAGAACAAAUCGCAGCUGCUGCUUUGUGAUGUGUUUGGAGGAAAUGGUAAAAGUUUGUAAUGUGAUUCGACAGUUACAGGACAACUGGGUUGUCACGAGCUUUCCGAGAAAGCAUUGUUGUCAUACAUAAACCAGGCAGUAGUUCCA